AGAGUAGUAAAGGAAAGCAAAUCCUUGCGUCUCAGGCCUGGAGAGCAGAGGAGGGGGUGAGAGCGGGGUCUGGGGCAGGGACCGGCCUCACGGUAGCUGUAGAGCCCUCGGGCAGGGAGGAAGGAGGGUCCCAGGGAUACUGACCAGAGGGACAGUGGGCCUUAAGCCUGUAGGCCUCUGACCCACACUCUCCCCUGCAGGGAGCCGAGUGCCAUCCAUCGAGAGCAUCCUGGACGGCAGCCCUGAGCCCUGCAGCCGCAGCCAGCCCCGCCUGCCAGCCGACCUCUACCUACCAGCCCUGGGGCCUGACUCCUGUUCUGUCGGUAUAGAGGAGUAAGCUGGAUGGCCCACCUCCGUGGAGACGCCCCGCAGCCUCCAUACCACUGGCCCGCCCCGGCCUGUGCUGGGUGGCCCCAGUCCUGACCCU
Long non-coding RNA from Suricata suricatta (meerkat), 427 nucleotides. RefSeq lists it as uncharacterized. The record is from RefSeq and is a predicted model, not a curated record. NCBI's taxonomy places the organism in Eukaryota, Metazoa, Chordata, Mammalia, Carnivora, Herpestidae. The transcript has 3 exons.